RNAcentral lists this long non-coding RNA (919 nucleotides) under Homo sapiens (human). RNAcentral describes it as "non-protein coding LINC00313:8". Lineage: Eukaryota; Metazoa; Chordata; Mammalia; Primates; Hominidae. The record is from RNAcentral.
AUGACAACUCUGAGCAAGUCAAAACAACCGUCAGCAGCGGGAAACCUCGAUGAACAAACACCGGGAGAGUGCAUUCCCAGGGGAGUUCCAGGAGGCCCAUGGCCCCUCCUGUACAGCCCUCCACCGCCCAGAGCCUUCCAGCGCCGUGUCUUCCCCUUGGAGCAUCUGGAGGCCCCAGACAGCACCCGCCUGACGUUCAGCAGAGGGGGAGACCGAGGCCUGCAGCAGAGUGUUUUGUCAGAUGCUGCUCCCUGACCGGGAGUGAGAGGGAACCCACCUAGAGGUGCCAGAUGGGGUGCCAGGGCAGCGUGGCCUGCAGGCCCCUCAGCUCCUCACAGCCCCUGCCCCCAGCCUUCCUGGGCCCAGAGAUCCCCUUGUUUACCCUAGUCCAGGGACAGAGGCUCAGAUGUCAUGCUUGACCCCACAGUUUCUGCAGAUCCUGCUUUGUGACUUCGAGUGAAGUGUGGAAGCGCUGGAAGCACUUAGACCCUGCCUGUGCCGCAGACCCCUGGGAGGCACCAACACCCCGGAUCGAGAAGCCCGAUGGGAAAGAAUGUCUGGGAAGGACGUCAUGCCCGAGGCUUGCGUGACAGUUUCCACUCACAGUGCGCUCACUCUGAACCUCUGUGCACACGAUGGGCCUGCAUCUCUUCCCACUAUCUGCUAGGAAACACGAGGAAUCAUGGGAUUUGCCGCAGUUUGCACCCAGGCCUGUGCGGAUGCCCCCCGACUGCCCGAGAUGCUGCACCUGCCACUGCUGGGGGUGUACCUGCCUAUGCCCACUCACAGGGGCACCUCCAGGGUAGCUGCCUGGUGCAGGCAUUGGCUCUAAGCAGAGCAGCACUAUGGGCCCAUCUGGGGCUGGCUCUUGCCUGGGCCUGUGAGCACCAUCACAGCCAGCCGAUCUGGGAGUAUCCAG